CUCAACUCGCGGGUGUGAUUCAUCGCAACCGUCGUUAAGUUGUGAAUUCACGUGAAAUUGUGUGAUUUGACUGGAAGGUCAAGGUUAUGGUCACGAAGGCACUGGUUUAUCUUAUCUGUCGAGGCAAGUUAUUCUACCGGAUUGUCCACUGACACCCGAAUCUUCUUGUCGACAGGGAGAUAAAUCACUGGUUUCGAUGAUCGUUCUACAAUGGAACCUGCUGCGAAAUCGUGACAGCAGAAAUCAUCCAAGUAGUCAGUGAUUUCGCAGGAUUUACAUCAAACAACAGUGACGGUGCAGAUUGUUAGGAUUAUAUAGCGUGCCAAGAGCCACUGAAGUGAAGCAACAGUUGAAAUUGUUGUGAAAUAGGCCCACAUUGAAACAAAACCGGUUGAAUGCGUUGGUGAAGUACGCAUAAAAAGAAUUUGUCAUAGAAAAGUUGUGAAUGAUUCACACAUUUUUCCCCCGAAUACAUCUCAACACAAUUAGUGACCGUUAGCGGCAUGAAUCAUCAUCCCUGUACUGUGUUCCCCCCACACCAUCUUUUCAUGGGAACAUUGGAUUGGCGGGGAUUUUCUUCAGCAUUGUUAAACAUCGAUCAAACUAGUCAACCUAUUGACAAAACUAGUAGGCUAGUAGAACAACUGAACUAUCAAUUGUACAGCUUGCUUAAGUGGCCUAGUCGGCUCUGUUAUCUUUCAAAUUGAUAAACGUUUUCGGUGCAAACAACAGGCUGUCGUAGGUUCGCUACCGGAGGCGACAAAGCUGCGCACGGAGUGGUGGCUACCCACUACCAACCACCCACUAUCCGUCAAUCCAUCAACACACAGGACAGAUUAUUACAGUCACGCGGGAAUGACGUCAAUCCUGUCACAAUGAGCCCAUCACCAGUACAAGGAACUUUCCAGGGGUGAUGGAGAUUUCCAGUCACAGUCGUGUCGAAAAACCGCUUCUCUCUGUGCUCUUCUCUGGGAAAUUUCUGGAUAUGGCAAAAAUAGGUCCAGCUUAACCUUGACACUAGUCAGUCCCACCAUCCGCGCCGAUCUCCACGUGCGGUAAUCAGAUGACACCACCGAAAAUUCUUCUGACCUUUUAUUUGUGGAAUUUCCGGAAUGCGGUAAUCGUCAGUCUCGUCAAGUAUUUGUCCAUUUAUAGAACUUCAAUUUCUCAGAAAUCGUUCAACAUAAACAAUACAGAUGAGGAUUACUCUUGCGUCAGUUUGACUGCGGAGUAAAAUUUAGUUACGUUAAUAAUAAUGACCGUGUGGUGGUUUUUUCUUUCUUCUUCUGUAGAACAACAAAAAAAAUCCCCGUGCCACCCCGACGGAGAAUGAAGCAAUAAUGAAAGUAAUAAAAUAGCAAAAAAAACAUGCGAAAACAACAACACGACGGGGCAUGAACACGUUUCCAGUUUGCAAGUCAUUCCAGAAAAGAAGAAAACACAUUUACCCCACUCCCGCCAACGGCGAUGAUGACGUGUUUCACCGUCGUGGAGAAAUGCUCCUCUGCUGGUGUGCGUACGUUCACGACGCCGGUUGAAUCAAAUCGACAUCGGGUACUAAUGCAACCUCUUCAUCACGUUAGUUCAUUUGAUGAACGAGCACCAUCGGACAACGCAUCGGAUAGGCAGAGAACGAACGUCGACGGAAGCGUAUUGGAUUCCAUGGUAAUCAACAAUGAAUCAUCGAAAAGUCUGAUUCAUCUUGUUAAGGAAAAGUACUACCGAAGCACUGUCACCGUCCCGUACUCACCUGGCAAGGGUGCCAAAGCUUUCCUGCUUUGAUUCUCUUCACUCCGAAAGCUUCGAACUGUUUAUUAGAAACAGUGUGGGUUUGGUAUUCGGGAAAUGAGUAACUCACAAUAAUGGUGUUUCGUGUUAUUCAAGUUUUUUUCUCCAUAUUUCAGUUGUAUUGACGUCAUGACGGGCGCUGAAAGGAACAAUUUCCACGGCACUGGACAGCUCGGAACUCAUAUUUCAAUUCUGUUCUUCUAAUUGUAAACUGUUCGUCUUUUAUAUCAGCAAAACGCACCGCUGUAUUCAGACUUCGGGUCAUAAUUUGUGAAGUUGCGUCGACUAUUCAUGUGGUUUCAGUGGUGAUAAAAUGUCAAAUGUUUUCGAAUAUGUUUUAAAAGUUCGUUUUUCAGGUCUUUGCGUUAAUCGACUUUGUGUCUGCCUGGUGAUAUUAUCACAACGGAACAUACUUUGUUUGAAAAAUAUUCUGUCGAAAAAACGCUACUUAAAAAUUAUUAAUUUAUCUAUAGUCAAUCAAGAGUAGACUAUAGGAUUCAUUACAAUAAUAAUCUUAAAUAAUAAACUUAUAUAUAAACUAAUCUAUGAAUACAGUACAAGUUAGAUAAAAUAUUUUACUAGCUUUACGGAAAGAAUUAACGGAAACCAGUUGUAUACUGCCAUCACUCGAUUUAUUGGUCCAGUUUUUGCACAGUUUAUUUGGUGGUUUGUAAAAAUUGAGCUUUGACAGAAAUACACUUAAAUCUAUGCCAUUCGGAACCAUUGAAAAUUCUCUGCGUUCUUUUAAGUUCUAGAUACUGAUGAGCAUACAGUGGACUUUGUAGGACGGAAGAGGGAGUCUUGCCCAACCCAAUUUACCUCCAUUCGAUCGUCAUAUGUGAUUAAAUAAGGUGUCCAAACUAAGCUACAAUACUCUAGCAAUGUGUAAUGUUUUAAUUGGAUACGGAUUAUGAAAACAGUAAAACAAUAAAUGGCACUGUUCAUAGUA
Molecule: long non-coding RNA, 2737 nt
Organism: Malaya genurostris
Lineage: Eukaryota; Metazoa; Arthropoda; Insecta; Diptera; Culicidae
Exons: 2
Source: RefSeq, a predicted model, not a curated record